UGGGGAAUAUUGCACAAUGGGCGCAAGCCUGAUGCAGCAAUGCCGCGUGAGUGAAGACGGCCUUAGGGUUGUAAAACUCUUUCGCUAGGGAAGAUAAUGACGGUAGCCGGAGAAGAAGCCCCGGCUAACUCCGUGCCAGCAGCCGCGGUAAUACGGAGGGGGCUAGCGUUGUUCGGAAUUACUGGGCGUAAAGCGCGCGUAGGCGGACUGAUCAGUCAGGGGUGAAAUCCCGGGGCUCAACCCCGGAACUGCCUUUGAUACUGUCAGUCUUGAGUCCGGAAGAGGCGAGUGGAAUACCGAGUGUAGAGGUGAAAUUCGUAGAUAUUUGGAGGAACACCAGUGGCGAAGGCGGCUCACUGGCUCGAUACUGACGCUGAGGUGCGAAAGUGUGGGGAGCAAACAGGAUUAGAUACCCUGGUAGUCCACACCGUAAACGAUGAAUGCCAGUCGUCGGGUAGCAUGCUAUUCGGUGACACACCUAACGGAUUAAGCAUUCCGCCUGGGAGUACGGUCGCAAGAUUAAAAGCUCAAAUGAAUUGACGG
This 543-nucleotide ribosomal RNA is filed under the name uncultured bacterium. RNAcentral describes it as "bacterial SSU rRNA". It matches the Rfam family "Bacterial small subunit ribosomal RNA", at positions 355 to 916 of the family's 1533-position model. The record is from RNAcentral.